RNAcentral lists this ribosomal RNA (383 nucleotides) under uncultured bacterium. Its description in RNAcentral is "bacterial SSU rRNA". It matches the Rfam family "Bacterial small subunit ribosomal RNA", at positions 28 to 414 of the family's 1533-position model. The record is from RNAcentral.
GAUGAACGCUAGCGGGAGGCUUAACACAUGCAAGCCGAGGGGUAUUCAGUUGCUUGCAACUGGAGAGACCGGCGCACGGGUGAGUAACGCGUAUGUAACUUGCCUCAUUCAACGGGAUAGCCCGGGGAAACCGAUUAAUAUCGUAUAACAUCGGGACAGGCAUCUGUUUUGAUUGAAAGAUUCAUCGGAAUGAGAUAGACAUGCGUAUGAUUAGCUUGUUGGCGGGUAACGGCCCACCAAGGCGACGAUGCGUAGCUGAGCUGAGAGGCUAAACAGCCACACUGGGACUGAGACACGGCCCAGACUCCUACGGGAGGCAGCAGUCGAGAAUCUUGGGCAAUGCGCGAAAGCGUGACCCAGCAAUGCCGCGUGCAGGAUGAAGG